This 335-nucleotide unclassified non-coding RNA is filed under the name soil metagenome. Its description in RNAcentral is "partial contains 5.8S ribosomal RNA, internal transcribed spacer 2, and large subunit ribosomal RNA". The stretch from base 1 to 119 matches the Rfam family "5.8S ribosomal RNA", at positions 35 to 154 of the family's 154-position model. The record is from RNAcentral.
GAUGAAGACGUAGCGAAAUGCGAUAAGUAAUGUGAAUUGCAGAAUUCCGUGAAUCAUCGAAUCUUUGAACGCACAUUGCGCCCCCUGGUAUUCCGGGGGGCAUGCCUGUCCGAGCGUCAUUGCAACCUUCAAGCGCGGCUUGUGUGUUGGGUCUCGUCCCCCGUGGACGGGCCCGAAAGGCAGUGGCGGCGUCCCGACAUGGUGCCCGAGCGUAUGGGAAUCCUCUUCCGCUCGAAUCGGCCCAUGCGGCGCUGGUCGUAACCAAAUUUUUUACCGGUUGACCUCGGAUCAGGUAGGGAUACCCGCUGAACUUAAGCAUAUCAAUAAGCGGAGGA